CCUACGGGAGGCAGUAGUGAGGAAUAUUGGUCAAUGGACGAGAGUCUGAACCAGCCAAGUAGCGUGAAGGAUGACUGCCCUAUGGGUUGUAAACUUCUUUUAUAUGGGAAUAAAAUGUUCCACGUGUGGGAUUUUGUAUGUACCAUAUGAAUAAGGAUCGGCUAACUCCGUGCCAGCAGCCGCGGUAAUACGGGGGAUCCGAGCGUUAUCCGGAUUUAUUGGGUUUAAAGGGAGCGUAGGUGGUUUGUUAAGUCAGUUGUGAAAGUUUGCGGCUCAACCGUAAAAUUGCAGUUGAAACUGGCAGUCUUGAGUACAGUAGAGGUGGGCGGAAUUCGUGGUGUAGCGGUGAAAUGCUUAGAUAUAACGAAGAACUCCGAUUGCGAAGGCAGUUCACUGGACUGCAACUGACACUGAGGCUCGAAAGUGUGGGUAUCAAACAGGAUUAGAUACCCGGGUAGUC
RNAcentral lists this ribosomal RNA (460 nucleotides) under uncultured bacterium. Its description in RNAcentral is "partial 16S ribosomal RNA". It matches the Rfam family "Bacterial small subunit ribosomal RNA", at positions 338 to 795 of the family's 1533-position model. The record is from RNAcentral.